UGCAGUCGAGCGGUGAGCCAAGCUUGCUUGGUGGAUCAGUGGCGAACGGGUGAGUAACACGUGAGCAACCUGCCCUGGACUCUGGGAUAAGCGCUGGAAACGGCGUCUAAUACUGGAUAUGAGCCUCUAUCGCAUGGUGGGGGUUGGAAAGAUUUUUUGGUCUGGGAUGGGCUCGCGGCCUAUCAGCUUGUUGGUGAGGUAAUGGCUCACCAAGGCGUCGACGGGUAGCCGGCCUGAGAGGGUGACCGGCCACACUGGGACUGAGACACGGCCCAGACUCCUACGGGAGGCAGCAGUGGGGAAUAUUGCACAAUGGGCGAAAGCCUGAUGCAGCAACGCCGCGUGAGGGAUGACGGCCUUCGGGUUGUAAACCUCUUUUAGCAGGGAAGAAGCGAAAGUGACGGUACCUGCAGAAAAAGCGCCGGCUAACUACGUGCCAGCAGCCGCGGUAAUACGUAGGGCGCAAGCGUUAUCCGGAAUUAUUGGGCGUAAAGAGCUCGUAGGCGGUUUGUCGCGUCUGCUGUGAAAUCCCGAGGCUCAACCUCGGGCCUGCAGUGGGUACGGACUCUGCAGACUAGAGUGCGGUAGGGGAGAUUGGAAUUCCUGGUGUAGCGGUGGAAUGCGCAGAUAUCAGGAGGAACACCGAUGGCCGAAGGCAGAUCUCUGGGAUUCCRUAACUGACGCUGAGGAGCGAAAGGGUGGGGAGCAAACAGGCUUAGAUACCCUGGUAGUCCACCCCGUAAACGUUGGCCCCUACGUAUUACCGCGGCUGCUGACACGACCGUGCUCGAUUGAACUAGUUGUGGGGACCAUUCCACGGUUUCCGUGACGCAGCUAACGCAUUAAGUUCCCCGCCUGGGGAGUACGGCCGCAAGGCUAAAACUCAAAGGAAUUGACGGGGACCCGCACAAGCGGCGGAGCAUGCGGAUUAAUUCGAUGCAACGCGAAGAACCUUACCAAGGCUUGACAUAUACGAGAACGGGCCAGAAAUGGUCAACUCUUUGGACACUCGUAAACAGGUGGUGCAUGGUUGUCGUCAGCUCGUGUCGUGAGAUGUUGGGUUAAGUCCCGCAACGAGCGAAACCCUCGUUCUAUGUUGCCAGCACGUAAUGGUGGGAACUCAUGGGAUACUGCCGGGGUCAACUCGGAGGAAGGUGGGGAUGACGUCAAAUCAUCAUGCCCCUUAUGUCUUGGGCUUCACGCAUGCUACAAUGGCCGGUACAAAGGGCUGCAAUACCGUGAGGUGGAGCGAAUCCCAAAAAGCCGGUCCCAGUUCGGAUUGAGGUCUGCAACUCGACCUCAUGAAGUGGGAGUCUUUAGUAAUCGCAGAUCAGCAACGCUGCGGUGAAUACGUUCUCGGGUCUUUACACACCGCCCGUCAAGUCAUGAAACUCGUAGUACCGUUAGUCGGUGCUCAAUACGUUGUA
Molecule: ribosomal RNA, 1427 nt
Filed under: Microbacterium sp.
Lineage: Bacteria; Bacillati; Actinomycetota; Actinomycetes; Micrococcales; Microbacteriaceae
Description: bacterial SSU rRNA
Source: RNAcentral